Oncorhynchus tshawytscha (Chinook salmon) is the source of this 336-nucleotide long non-coding RNA. RefSeq lists it as uncharacterized. The record is from RefSeq and is a predicted model, not a curated record. Lineage: Eukaryota; Metazoa; Chordata; Actinopteri; Salmoniformes; Salmonidae. The transcript is spliced from 3 exons.
GCUUUGGUCUGACUACUCUUCCUCAUCUGACGACGAAAGCCGUUACAAUUACUGUAUAAGAAACGGAGAGAGUGGACAGAUCCUGCGCUUGUGGGUAUCGGGAUAUAAUCAUGGACUUUCUGCAGAAGAUGUCAGUAAGUCUGUCCCCACAUGAGCCGUAAUGGAGUCUGAAGUUAUCAGCCAAGCAGAGCCAUGCAGCCACAAGGCUUCAGGACCCGGCCUGCCUCCAAGAGGAACCGCUGCUGGUCAAAGCAGAUUGUCAUCACUGUUAUCUUUAAACAACAUGCACAUUGGUUUUACUAACCAGGGGACAACAUCUCUUAUUCCCGUUCAAAA